ACAUUGGUACCGCAAGAAGAAUAGUCGGUGAUAUGACCCUGCCACAGGGAACAUGUGGCCAUAGUUCCUGGCUGUUGAGUUGAAUCUGAUAAAUUGAAAUAACAUAAGAUAUGAACAAUAUUUGGUUUUGACACUGCAUGUUUUCAUGACUGAAUUAUGAAAUAAAGAACUAAUUGAACUUCGACCUGGCUAUGUUGAGGACCCCGCCAAUGGGGGCAGAUACGUUGGCAAUUGAUUGUCCUGAAGGACUCACCGCAAGAAGAAUAGUCGGUGUUGAUGACCCUGCC
RNAcentral lists this long non-coding RNA (287 nucleotides) under Phoenix dactylifera (date palm). RNAcentral describes it as "long non-coding RNA (PDAC_LNC017207)". Lineage: Eukaryota; Viridiplantae; Streptophyta; Magnoliopsida; Arecales; Arecaceae. The record is from RNAcentral.